Molecule: unclassified non-coding RNA, 143 nt
Filed under: uncultured Hypocreales
Lineage: Eukaryota; Fungi; Ascomycota; Sordariomycetes; Hypocreales
Description: sequence contains ITS1
Source: RNAcentral
CCGAGUUUACAACUCCCAAACCCUAUGUGAACCUUACCUUUACGUUCCCUCGGCGGCGAUCCCCCAGGGGAGGACCGCCCGAGGACCCAAACAAACCCUUAUGUUUUUUACUGAGUUUUUCUGAGUAUUGAAAUAAUAAAUCA